GGGUUGUGAGGUUAAGCGACUAAGCGUACACGGUGGAUGCCCUGGCAGUCAGAGGCGAUGAAGGGCGUGCUAAUCUGCGAUAAGCGCCGGUAAGGUGAUAUGAACCGUUAUAACCGGCGAUACCCGAAUGGGGAAACC
RNAcentral lists this ribosomal RNA (138 nucleotides) under Salmonella enterica. RNAcentral describes it as "partial 23S ribosomal RNA". It matches the Rfam family "Bacterial large subunit ribosomal RNA", at positions 1 to 128 of the family's 2925-position model. The record is from RNAcentral. RNAcentral also lists the same sequence under 4 other names. Lineage: Bacteria; Pseudomonadati; Pseudomonadota; Gammaproteobacteria; Enterobacterales; Enterobacteriaceae.